This 78-nucleotide unclassified non-coding RNA is filed under the name Spizellomyces punctatus. RNAcentral describes it as "RNA (78-MER) from Spizellomyces punctatus (PDB 8GKH, chain W)". Lineage: Eukaryota; Fungi; Chytridiomycota; Chytridiomycetes; Spizellomycetales; Spizellomycetaceae. The record is from RNAcentral.
UCCGAGCCGGUAGUCGCGCGGUUCAAUCCCUGGUGCGGGUGCUAGUGCACCGGCUCCGCACUAUCUAUAGGUUAUGAA